GCUUAAUGAAGUAUGUGGGAGAUUGAACGAUGUGCGGACAGAUGAUGAACCUGAGCACGAAGCUGAAGGCUCGGUUGCAUCAGGAGACGAUGAUGAUUCUGAUGACGAAGAAUUUGACCCUGCGCUGGAGGUGGGCACUGCUUCUGAUGCCUCUGAGGAUUUAUUAGACGACGAUCUAAUUGAUUUCACGGAGACCGAGCGAGCAGGUUGGAUCCGACAACCGACAGCCGAGACCGGUGAUCUAACUAAUUGGUUAGUUCCCUUGAUUCCAGUGGACGCCUCGGCUUCGCUGGUUGCUCGCGAGAGUGACCCUUCUAGAGUUGAUGAUCUGCAGAAGAAUUCUUUUUACAACAGCAAAGACGAC
RNAcentral lists this long non-coding RNA (364 nucleotides) under Salvia miltiorrhiza (redroot sage). RNAcentral describes it as "long non-coding RNA (SMIL_LNC003853)". The record is from RNAcentral. Lineage: Eukaryota; Viridiplantae; Streptophyta; Magnoliopsida; Lamiales; Lamiaceae.